AUCUGUACAAGGAGGAAGAGAGACAAAAAAGAGCCAACAACGUUCCUCUAACGUCAUUAGCUCUUGAUAAACUUGUUAAUGAACAUUUUCAUGAUUGGUUUAAACAAAGAGUAAGAUAUCAAAACUUUUCCUUACACAUUUUUAAGAUUAUAUGCCUAAUUUGACUAAGAAUUUUUUUUGUUUAGAUUAUAUAUACAUAUGAUUCAGUAGUUUCAGAAGAAAUUAGAGCCCUCGCGGUUAGUCCUAAGCAAAUCACACAAAGAUUUAAAAGAUUUUAUAUUAAUGGGUAUCAAUUUCAUACUAAAGAUCGCAAUGAGAACAAGAAAACACAAAAUUAUGGCGUUGUUAACAAAACUGAAGUUGGAAAUUUUUCUUAUUAUGGUCGACUGAAUGAUAUUAUUAAGCUUAAUUACUCCGACUAAUUUCGUGUGGUCUUGUUCAAGUGUGAUUGGGCUAACACAACUUCAGCCGGCACUAAAGUAGAUCAUUACGGGAAUACAUUGGUUAACUUUUCACGAUUAAUACACACAGGUGAUAAAUGGGCAGAUGAUCCAUUUGUUUUCUCAUCACAAGUUGAGCCCGUGUUUUUCAUCGAAGAUCCAAAGAAAAAAAACUGGAACUUUGUCUUACCAGUAAAGGCUAGAGAUGUGUUCGAUUCAAGCAUUUCUCAACCAAACAAUCAUAUGUAAAUUUAUGCAAAGUUCAUGUGAAUCAAGAUUAGAAUCUUGUGAAUUUUUUGUGUGCAAUACAUGGCUUUCUAACUUGGACUUUUUAAAUGUCUUGCUUCUCAGUUACUGUCAAACAAUAAUGUCUUGAAUGUUUCUUGUGAAAAUAAUGUUUGUUUUGGUUUUUUUAUUUGUUCAACUAUAAGUGAUUGAAUUCCCACAUUACUCUGCUAUGGAUGAAAAUUUUUCUUAUCUUCAUGUUUAUCACUUUUGUUACUAUAUUGUGUGUUUAUAAUUGUUUUCUAACUCAUUUCCAAUUAUAUGUAUCACAUGUCACUACAUAUAAAAUUUAGAGGGCAACGGUGGUGAGUAGCUCAAAUCUAUAGUUAGAGACUCAAAUUACUUGAGUUGCAUCCUUAUUUUUAUUCAAAUGAUCUUUAUGGGAGGGUUUCUAAGUCCAUCUUUGUUCAGCCUUUGAGUGAAAUUAACUGAAUGAUCAUGAAAUGUACCUUGCAUUCAGUACAAAAUAUAGAAAUUGCUAUAUUUUGUAAGUUCAUCCUUAUUUUAAGUCCAUCCUCAUUCAUACCCAAUGACAUUCAACUUGCCCGUCGCAUUAGAGGCGAGCAUGCUUAGGAUUUUAUUUCCUUUGCUCUGCGAUCUUUUGCUCUAUGAACUUUUAGGAAUAUGUUUCGUGGAUAUCUAUAUUCCUUAAUAUGAAAAACUAAAUUUGCUUAUGUUUGACAACUCUACUUUGCUGUGAUGAUAUGUAUUGGUGUUUUGUUAAUUUUUUGAUGAAUUAUUCUUUAAAUUCUCUAGAAUUCUGAAAUGUUUAUGUUUCUGGAUUUGAAUUUGUCUGUUCUUUCACUAUACAGUAAUAAUUUUCUAUAGUUCACCUUUGGCGUUGAGUUGUGAUAAUUAUUAUGCUUUACUUUCUUUGAGAAGAAGCUCACCUGCCAUUAAUCUCAAAGAUGUUGGAUGAUAUUUGUUCCAGUAGCAUUCGACAUUUCCUGUUAGAUUUUAUUUUUCAUCUUUUUAAACUUCUUGCCAAAAGAUUGCUAAUGGCGGCUAAAAUCAUUUGUUGAUCUUUAACGUUAUCUUUGGGUAGCUUAAUUUCAAUGUGAAAUGAGUAACGGAGCUUGAUUGAUAUUAAGCAAGUUGAAAUUUUGAAUCCCGUGUUCGAAGUGGUGUUUUGGCCCCGUUACUUGAGGAGACAGUGUUUAUGGUGUCCUUGACUAAGUGGUAAAAUUCGAAGUACCAACUUACUUUAUUCACUACUUGACGUGUAUGCUACAAUCAUUAAAUUCAGUUUGGUAGUACGUAAUUUGUUAAUUUUCCUUAAUGAAAUUUAACUUUUAGGUGCUUCCUAAGAAACCGUCAUCAAAUUUUAAAAUUGCUCUCAUAAUGUGUAGACUAAUUUUGUAAUACAGGUUUCCAACUCCAGUUUCAGUUCUUCUCAGUUCUGCAAUUUUUGCUCUUGCACACCUCACUUCUGGAGAGUUUCCUCAGCUAUUUGUGCUCGGAAUGAUAGGAAGCGGCUCAUUCCGACGUGCUAAAAAAGUUACACGUCGAGGAACUUCCAGUAUAGAGUAGAUUAGUAGAACUUCUAAUAAUGCAUCGACUCUGAUGCAUCCAGAUUUGUCCAAUGCUACUGACUGCAAUAACAACGAACAAUCUCCGAGUCAGUCAUCUCAAGAUUUAAGACGGCAGGUGCCAUCGAUGGAUGAUGGAAUUUGGCUCAUAGAUGAUGAGGGUGCUCUGAUAAAAAAGAGAGGCCGAACUACUUGUGCAGACAUACAGAGCAUGCCACCAGGUACACAGAUUCACAUUGAAGUCAAUGAGAAUAUGGUGCCAUGUAAUAUACCAGAGUCUAUUAUACUUGGUUCAUACUUAGGGGUUGUAGCUAGAGAUCCUAUUUUGACACCAAUCUCAUUCGCAAAUUGGCGUAAUAAAGGUAUGGAACCAUUUAAAAAGAGGAUGCUAGCAGAAGUAGAGGUCAAGUUUGAGUUACCCGCAAGUAUGAAACAUUAGAUACUACAAUCUCUUGGUUCCAAGUGGCGCAACUACAAAACUAAAUUGAAGGCAAAGCACUGGGAUAGUAGACCAUUACAGAAGAUCAUGGAGACUGUCCCUGCAGGAGUAGAUCCAGUGCAGUGGUGUCAGCUUGUUAGUAGAUGGUCACAACCUCAGGAUAAAGAGAGGGCAGCAAGAAAUGUGGAAAAUGCAAAAAAACAAACGUGUCCGCAUACGAUGGGUCGGGUGAGCUCCGUAAGGAGACAGGAAGAAACAUCUAUACGAGAUCGUCUGUUAUUAUGGAAAAUCAAUCGCACGCGUAAAAAUGGAUCAUGGUCAUCUGAGGAGGCCAGACAAAAAUGGGCACAUGCUUCUGAAAUGCUUGCCGAAGAAGGGUUAACGCCAGAAGAUGGAAAUUUUGAAGCCAAUGAAAAAGUCUUCAAGGCGAUCAUGGGGCCAAAACACCCAGGGAGGGUACGAACACAAGGUUUUGGGGUUAUUCCAAGCAGAUAUUUUCCUUGUAGCACCACGAAUCCAGGAAGUAGUAGUCGAGGCAAUACUAUAUUUGAUCGAGUUGUAAGACUUGAGGGGGUGGUACAAACAUUGCAAAGUGAGAUGAGACAAUUCAUGAAUAAAUACCAGGGACAACAUCCGCCACCAAAAAGUUCAAAUAUGGUAUGUAAAAUAAAAAAAUUACGUAUUUUCAUUUAUUAAUUAAUUUAUCAUAUUUAGUUUUUCUGAUGACUUAUAUAUUAAUAACAGGGAGAUAAUGAUCAAUUUUCGCCUAAUUGACAUCCAAGGUGUAGAAGAAGGGAAUAUAUAAUAUAAAUGUACACGAUAUUUUCAUUAUGUAUAGUCGAUUGUUUGUUUUGAAAUGUUAUAAGAAUUUUGUUUGUUUGGCUAUAAAUUGUAAUUUUUGUGAUGUAUGUUAAACUUUUGUCAUUUCUACUCUAAAUUUUUAUUGACAACUUACGUCAUUUGUACAACGGUAUUUGUUGUUACUUAGCACAAAUUUUGUUAUUUCUACUCUAAAUUCUUGUCAACAAUGCUUCAUUUAUUAAUUUUUGUGAUAUAUGUUCAACUUCUGUCAUUUCAACAACUUUUCGUUAGUGAUUUGGUGAUCAAGUAAAAAUUGAGAGAAAGAAUUUGAGCUGUCAAUCUUCUUCUGUAUGGAUUGAUAUCAAAUGGGGUCUAGCAUGGGCGGGGAGCUGCGAGAUCAUCUUACCGGUGAAAUCCCGAGAGAGCUUGGCAGCAUGUAUUAUCUCAUGGUGUUGAAUUUAGGCCACAAUAUGUUAUCAUGAUCCAUGUCUUUGGGGCUUGUUUUCUCUAUUUUCUGCAUCAUAGCCAUCAUCCUCAUUGCAGUAGAAAGCAAGAAGAGAAACAGAUUACUAAAGGAUAAUGGAAGCAGCAUAAAAGAAAUCUAUAUCGACAACCUUUCUCAUUUUUCCACAGCCUGGAAGAUGACUACCACGAAGGAAGCCCCGAGUAAAUUUUUUGUUUCUAUUUGACAGAAUGAUGUUGGGAGUCGUUAGGCAGAGGCUGGGAUGCAGAACCGUGGGAUUUUCGACAUUGAGGCAAGUCAUAGAGAGGGUUGGCCCGGCUGCCUUUGUUGCAGGGAAGCAACUCAUCUUCUGCUAAAGAGGUUGUCUUAGUGGCAGAAGUGAACGGAGGGAGCAAUCUGGACCUGGUUCCAGAGUCUGCCAUCCUUGGCGGAACUUCUAAAGCUUUCUCAAAUGCUAGCCUUCAUAAGCUCAGGCAAAGAGUAGAGGAUGUCAUUGUAAUGCAGUAGUGUAUAUAAAUGCUCUGCUUCAUUAUACUUCUUUGAGAAUUAACAAUUCUACCCUCCCAUUUUCAAUGUGAAGAAUGUGGUUGUUAGCCUGCUGGGUCCGAAGAACUAUAAGGAUGUUCCUCCAAUGAUGGGUGUAGAAGACUACUACUCAGAGAUUGUAAUUCUAUUACAUAGGCGUUAGAUUUGUGGAUAUUAUUUAAUUGUAAGACUAAGAUUUGUGGAUAUUAUGUUAAGUUUUUAUGCAUAAGGACAUACUUUUUCCAUGAUUUCUUGGUAGGAUAUUCAAAUUAAGGAACUUUGUUAUGAAGUUUGGAAACGAUGAAAGGGUUAUAUGCUUGGAUUAA
Molecule: long non-coding RNA, 4808 nt
Organism: Dendrobium catenatum
Lineage: Eukaryota; Viridiplantae; Streptophyta; Magnoliopsida; Asparagales; Orchidaceae
Exons: 10
Source: RefSeq, a predicted model, not a curated record